Molecule: ribosomal RNA, 185 nt
Filed under: uncultured bacterium
Lineage: Bacteria
Description: partial 16S ribosomal RNA
Rfam family: Bacterial small subunit ribosomal RNA
Source: RNAcentral
CUGCAUGAAGUCGGAAUUGCUAGUAAUCGCGGAUCAGCAUGCCGCGGUGAAUACGUUCCCGGGCCUUGUACACACCGCCCGUCACACCAUGGGAGCCGGUAACACCCGAAGUCAGUAGUCUAACCGCAAGGAGGACGCUGCCGAAGGUGGGAUUAGCGACUGGGGUGAAGUCGUAACAAGGUAAC